UUGCCAGCCCGCUCAGAAACUCAAAGGAAUUGACGGGGCCCGGCACAAGCGGAGGAGCAUGUGGUUUAAUUCGAUGAUACGCGAGGAACCUUACCUGGGCUCGAACGUAAGAUGACUGUAGGUGAAAGCUUACAUCUCUUCGGAGCAUUUUACGAGGUGCUGCAUGGUUGUCGUCAGCUCGUGCCGUGAGGUGUCGGGUUAAGUCCCAUAACGAGCGCAACCCCUACCUUUAGUUGCCAUCAGGUAAUGCUGGGGACUCUAAAGGAACUGCCUACGCAAGUAGUGAGGAAGGCGGGGAUGACGUCAAAUCAGCACGGCCCUUACGUCCAGGGCUACACACGUGCUACAAUGGCCGAUACAGAGGGCAGCUACCUGGUGACAGGAUGCAAAUCUCCAAAGUCGGUCUCAGUUCGGAUCGGAGUCUGCAACCCGACUCCGUGAAGUUGGAAUCGCUAGUAAUCGCGCAUCAGCCAUGGCGCGGUGAAUACGUUCCCGGGCCUU
Molecule: ribosomal RNA, 501 nt
Filed under: uncultured Sphingobacteriales bacterium
Lineage: Bacteria; Pseudomonadati; Bacteroidota; Sphingobacteriia; Sphingobacteriales
Description: bacterial SSU rRNA
Rfam family: Bacterial small subunit ribosomal RNA
Source: RNAcentral